GACGAACGCUGGCGGCGUGCUUAACACAUGCAAGUCGAACGGAAAGGCCCUGCUUUUGUGGGGUGCUCGAGUGGCGAACGGGUGAGUAACACGUGAGUAACCUGCCCUUGACUUUGGGAUAACUUCAGGAAACUGGGGCUAAUACCGGAUAGGAGCUCCUGCUGCAUGGUGGGGGUUGGAAAGUUUCGGCGGUUGGGGAUGGACUCGCGGCUUAUCAGCUUGUUGGUGGGGUAGUGGCUUACCAAGGCUUUGACGGGUAGCCGGCCUGGGAGGGUGACCGGCCACAUUGGGCCUGAGGUACGGCCCAGACUCCUACGGGAGGCAGCGGUGGGGAAUAUUGCACAAUGGGCGGAAGCCUGAUGCAGCAACGCCGCGUGCGGGAUGACGGCCUUCGGGUUGUAAACCGCUUUCGCCUGUGACGAAGCGUGAGUGACGGUAAUGGGUAAAGAAGCACCGGCUAACUACGUG
RNAcentral lists this ribosomal RNA (468 nucleotides) under uncultured bacterium. RNAcentral describes it as "partial 16S ribosomal RNA". It matches the Rfam family "Bacterial small subunit ribosomal RNA", at positions 28 to 507 of the family's 1533-position model. The record is from RNAcentral.